AGAACGAACGCUGGCGGCAGGCUUAACACAUGCAAGUCGAACGCCCCGCAAGGGGAGUGGCAGACGGGUGAGUAACGCGUGGGAAUCUACCCAGAACUUCGGAACAACUGAGGGAAACUUCAGCUAAUACCGGAUACGCCCUACGGGGGAAAGAUUUAUCGGUUCUGGAUGAGCCCGCGUUGGAUUAGCUAGUUGGUGGGGUAAUGGCCUACCAAGGCGACGAUCCAUAGCUGGUCUGAGAGGAUGAUCAGCCACACUGGGACUGAGACACGGCCCAGACUCCUACGGGAGGCAGCAGUGGGGAAUAUUGGACAAUGGGCGAAAGCCUGAUCCAGCCAUGCCGCGUGAGUGAUGAAGGCCUUAGGGUUGUAAAGCUCUUUCAGUAGGGAAGAUAAUGACGGUACCUACAGAAGAAGCCCGGCUAACUUCGUGCCAGCAGCCGC
This 443-nucleotide ribosomal RNA is filed under the name uncultured bacterium. RNAcentral's name for it is "SSU rRNA". It matches the Rfam family "Bacterial small subunit ribosomal RNA", at positions 26 to 518 of the family's 1533-position model. The record is from RNAcentral.